AUAUCAGUCAUGCAUAGCAUAUCAAUAAGCGGAGGAAAAGAAACUAACAAGGAUUCCCCUAGUAACGGCGAGUGAAGCGGGAAGAGCUCAAAUUUGAAAUCUUAAAGGGUUUCCCUUUACGAAUUGUAGUUUAAAGAAGUGUUUUCUGUUAGAGUUUUGGUAAAAGUUCUUUGGAAUAGGACAUCAUAGAGGGUGAGAAUCCCGUAUUUGACCUUUACUUUCAACUUUGUGAUACACUUUCAAAGAGUCGGAUUGUUUGGGAAUGCAGUCCAAAAUGGGUGGUAAAUUUCAUCUAAAGCUAAAUAUUGGCGAGAGACCGAUAGCGAACAAGUACCGUGAGGGAAAGAUGAAAAGAACUUUGAAAAGAGAGUUAAACAGUACGUGAAAUUGUCAAAAGGGAAGCGUUUGACACCAGUGUUGUUUUUCUGAAAAUCAAUUAAAGAACUGUUUAUGCUAAGCUGUUUAGACUUUAUCAGCUAAUCUGCUUAGUUUUGAGCUUUUCUUUAAUGCACUUUUCAGUUAACAAGUCAACAUCAAUUUCUUUUGCUGUAAAAAAGCUUGAGGAAGGUGGCUUGAGAUUCGUCUUAAGUGUUUAUAGCCUCUUGCCUAUGCAGUCGGAGAGAUUGAGGUCUGCAGCGUAGAUCCUUCGGGGCUAAAUGCAUUUGUGCUAAGUUAUCAGCAUUUUAUAGACAACUUGUUGACUAUGAUUUGUCUUGUAGCUUACUCGCUUAUGUUAUUCUACCUACGCUUAGGAUGUUGAUCUACAGAGCGAGAGU
RNAcentral lists this ribosomal RNA (776 nucleotides) under uncultured Neocallimastigales. RNAcentral describes it as "partial large subunit ribosomal RNA". It matches the Rfam family "Eukaryotic large subunit ribosomal RNA", at positions 22 to 631 of the family's 3401-position model. Lineage: Eukaryota; Fungi; Neocallimastigomycota; Neocallimastigomycetes; Neocallimastigales. The record is from RNAcentral.